This 358-nucleotide unclassified non-coding RNA is filed under the name uncultured fungus. Its description in RNAcentral is "partial contains small subunit ribosomal RNA, internal transcribed spacer 1, and 5.8S ribosomal RNA". The stretch from base 1 to 73 matches the Rfam family "Eukaryotic small subunit ribosomal RNA", at positions 1759 to 1831 of the family's 1831-position model. Lineage: Eukaryota; Fungi. The record is from RNAcentral.
GCAAACUUGGUCAUUUAGAGGAAGUAAAAGUCGUAACAAGGUCAUCGUAGGUGAACCUGCGGUGGGAUCAUUCACGAAGAUACCCGGACGUUGAUAGCCGAGCCUGAGAAACCGAGCGUUUCUUGAGCCAGGCGUCUGCGGACGGGAAAUCCAAUGGAAACCUUGUGUGCACUGUCGCUCUGCGAUCUCUUUUGGCGCGCACAUUUGAGUUGUUCGCUUGCGGGCGGGCAGCCGGGGUGCGCGCCAGAGACUUUGGCUUAUUACGUGGUUUUGUUGUAAGUCUGAAAUUUCAAAUGAAAAUGAAAAUACAACUUUCAACAACGGAUCUCUUGGCUCUCGCAUCGAUGAAGAACGCAGC